GUGGGGAAUCUUCCGCAAUGGACGAAAGUCUGACGGAGCAACGCCGCGUGAGUGAAGAAGGUUUUCGGAUCGUAAAGCUCUUUCGUCAGGGACGAACGUAUUUCUUGUAAAUAAUGAGAGAUAGUGACGGUACCUGAAUAAGAAGCCACGGCUAACUACGUGCCAGCAGCCGCGGUAAUACGUAGGUGGCAAGCGUUGUCCGGAAUUAUUGGGCGUAAAGCGCGCGCAGGCGGGAUAUCAAGUCUGGCUUAAAAGUGCGAGGCUCAACCUCGUGAGGGGACAGAAACUGGUAUUCUUGAGUGUCGGAGAGGAAAGUGGAAGUCCAAGUGUAGCGGUGAAAUGCGUAGAGAUUUGGAAGAACACCAGUGGCGAAGGCAACUUUCUGGACGAUGUCUGACGCUGAGGCGCGAAAGCUAGGGGAGCGAACGGGAUUAGAAACCCUGGUAGUCC
Molecule: ribosomal RNA, 450 nt
Filed under: uncultured bacterium
Lineage: Bacteria
Description: partial 16S ribosomal RNA
Rfam family: Bacterial small subunit ribosomal RNA
Source: RNAcentral